GAUGAACGCUGGCGGCGUGCCUAAUACAUGCAAGUAGAACGCUGAAGGAAGGAGCUUGCUCUUUCCGGAUGAGUUGCGAACGGGUGAGUAACGCGUAGGUAACCUGCCUGGUAGCGAGGGAUAACUAUUGGAAACGAUAGCUAAUACCGCAUAACAGUAGAUGUUGCAUGAUAUCUACUUAAAAGGUGCAAUUGCACCACUACCAGAUGGACCUGCGUUGUAUUAGCUAGUUGGUGAGGUAACGGCUCACCAAGGCGACGAUACAUAGCCGACCUGAGCGGGUGAUAGGCCACACUGGGACGGAGACACGGCCCAGACUACUACGGGAGGCAGCAGUAGGGAAUCUUCGGCAAUGGACGGAAGUAUGACCGAGCAACGCCGCGUGAGUGAAGAAGGUGUUCGGAUCGUAAAGAUCUGUUGUAAGAGAAGAACGAGUGUGAGAGUGGAAAGUUCACACUGUGACGGUAUCUUACCAGAAAGGGACGGCUAACUACGUG
RNAcentral lists this ribosomal RNA (497 nucleotides) under uncultured bacterium. RNAcentral's name for it is "partial 16S ribosomal RNA". It matches the Rfam family "Bacterial small subunit ribosomal RNA", at positions 28 to 507 of the family's 1533-position model. The record is from RNAcentral.